UGGGGAAUAUUGCGCAAUGGGCGGAAGCCUGACGCAGCGACGCCGCGUGAGGGAUGACGGCCUUCGGGUUGUAAACCUCUUUCAGCUCUGACGAAGCGUGAGUGACGGUAGGAGCAGAAGAAGCACCGGCCAACUACGUGCCAGCAGCCGCGGUAAUACGUAGGGUGCAAGCGUUGUCCGGAAUUAUUGGGCGUAAAGAGCUCGUAGGCGGUUUGUCGCGUCGAAUGUGAAAUCCCGGGGCUCAACCCCGGGUCUGCAUUCGAUACGGGCAGACUAGAGUUCGGUAGGGGAGUCUGGAAUUCCUGGUGUAGCGGUGAAAUGCGCAGAUAUCAGGAGGAACACCGGUGGCGAAGGCGGGACUCUGGGCCGAUACUGACGCUGAGGAGCGAAAGCGUGGGGAGCAAACA
This 407-nucleotide ribosomal RNA is filed under the name uncultured bacterium. RNAcentral's name for it is "bacterial SSU rRNA". It matches the Rfam family "Bacterial small subunit ribosomal RNA", at positions 355 to 774 of the family's 1533-position model. The record is from RNAcentral.